Eurytemora carolleeae is the source of this 3157-nucleotide RNA transcript. It is a transcript of the gene named major facilitator superfamily domain-containing protein 6, with no coding region annotated. The record is from RefSeq and is a predicted model, not a curated record. The transcript has 19 exons. NCBI's taxonomy places the organism in Eukaryota, Metazoa, Arthropoda, Copepoda, Calanoida, Temoridae.
AUAUAAAUUUUGAUCCGACUUGUUAUAUCUACAACGCCAUUUCUAAAACCUUGACAAGGUCGAAAUUUCCCAAAACAUCGAAUUGGAAAAUAUUCUCCAAAAAUUUGGAAAAAUUUAGCAUUGUGAUAAAAUACCAUCAGACAGUAUUUUCAAAUUGAUAUCUCAAAUAUUACUCUGCCGGCUAAAAAAUUAAAUGUUUAAAAUUUCAAAAUCUCAGAUAUUACUCAGUGGAUGUAAAUGUUAAAAAUUAAAGAUUUAUGAAAAAUGUAAAAUUUCAGAUACCCCACAAUGUAACCUAGACUUAACACCAAAAAAAAACAAGACUAUGAAGUUUAAAGUGAACCCCCGCCUUGUUCCCAUCAAAACUCAUUUCUUUCUCAAUUUUGCCGGUCUCUCUCCCAUCCUUCCCUUUCUUCCUGUCUUCGCUAAGCAGAUAGGAUUCGAUGAGGUAUCUGUUGGUAUUGUGUUUGCUAUUCUGCCCUUCAGUGGAAUGCUUGCUAAACCUAUAGCGGGCUGGAUAGCUGACAGGUUUGGUCUAGAGAAGAUUGUUUUUAUGGUUUCCAUUCUUCUUUCUGGGGUAUUCUAUUCUGCCCUACUACUCUUAGGAGAUAUUCAAGCUGACACCACCAGUACUCUUCAGUGCUCAAGUCCCUUCUCUAUCCUAAAAGUAUGCCGGGGAGAGGAAGCAACUAUGAAUCUAGUCAAUCAUCAGCUCAGUAACAGUUGUCCUGAGCACUGUGAGCUUAAGUGUAGUAUAACUGACGAAUCUGUGAUGAAAACAAUCUGUGAAGCAGCUCAGUAUAGUUUUAAAGGCUGCUAUAAUGACACUACUCCCCUUGAUCUGACCGAUCCAGUGCUCACAAUCUUCUCUAAUGUAACACAUCAUGAUACACAGCCAGAUCCUAAGUGCUUACUUCUUCCAAUAGAUUCAAUAGUUAUUGGUGACCUCCAUCUUGAUUCCAUGAUAUGCUCAGACAAAACAGAGAUAACCUGUUUAACAACAUGUUACAGUGAACAUCUGAAGAGAUAUGUGAGACAGGAUUCAGUUUUUAGUUCUCAUACCUUCUGGUUCUUCACCAUCUUUAACAUCAUAGCCUACUCAGCUUUUAGUGUCACAACCAGCAUGGGAGAUGCACUGUGUUUUAAUCUGUUAGAGGGUAAGCAUGAAGAGUAUGGAGUACAGCGUGUGUUUGGAUCUAUAGGGUGGGGUCUAUUUACUAUUCUUGGAGGUUAUCUGAUAGAUUCAUACUCUCAACAUCUAAAUGGAGUUAAGGAUUACUCUCCGGCUCUAUAUCUGAUGUCAGGUCUCCUAGUUCUUGAUCUCAUUUGUUCCUGGAAAAUGCAAAUAAAGCCGCCAGUCAAAUCUAUCAGUGGCGGAUCAGAUAUGAUGCGGUUGUUGGCCAGUCCCCGUGUUGUAUUGUUUGUGAUCUGGUGUACUGUAGUUGGAAUAUUUACCUCCCUGGUAUGGCAGUGGUUACCUUGGUAUCUUGCUGAUCUAGCAGACACUAGAUCAGAGGAAGAGAGCUGUUUAAGUACAGAUCAUGGGGCCACAUGGUUAACUCUUCUUCUUAGUCUCAACAUGGGAAUUCAAUGCUUUGUUGGAGAAGUCCCAAUGUUCUUUCUAUCAGGAUGGAUUUUGAAAACUUUGGGACAUAUUCAUACAAUGACACUGGUUCUAGGAGCUUUUGGCCUGAGGUUACUGUUUUAUUCCUUCCUGACCAAUCCCUGGCAUUCUCUACUGAUAGAAGUUCUCAAUGGAAUAACGUUUGGAAUUUUUUAUGCGACUAUGACAUCAUACGCUCACAUAAUUGCGCCCCCAGGUAUGGGUUCAACCAUGCAGGGCAUCGUAGGAGGGGCAUUUGAAGGAGCAGGUGUUGCAAUUGGUUCUUUAGCUGGAGGUGCCGUUUACAAAAUGGAGGGCGGGGGAGCUUUUAUGUUCCGAUGUUUUGGAUUAUUCUCCCUCACUUGUUGCCUUGCUCAUGCCCUUCUUCAGAUUCUACUUCGUAACCUCUAUCCUCAGCUCCCGGAUACAGACGGACUAGGACUAGGAGUUCAGUUCACGGAGAUCAACUCUAGAGAGGAUGAUCCUAAACCUAUAUUCAAAGGAUUACGAAAAGACAUAUUACUGGAAGAACCGGAGCAAAAUCUAAUUUAAUUGUCAGUUUCAACACCUAAUGUAUAUUUGUGACAUUUUGCUUUUGUUGUAUAUCGUUGAAAACGUAAGUCAUCACUCAACUUAAUGCUAGACGAUUAAUCAGUAAUCACUUCAUUCGUUUUGAGAAGAGGUGCGACAUUCCCUAGUUUUAAGGCUUUAGUAUUCUUUUUUUUUUACAAGAGUAUGAUAAAAUCGGUUCUGAAUGUCGUCUUAUAAAUUAUUUUCGCUAGGCUUUAGCAUUCCUCAUUGUUUUUUUUUUUAUAAAAGUAUGAUAAAGUCUUUUCUGAAUGUCGUCUUAUAAAUUAUUUUCGCUAAUCCGCUUAGGAACUAUGAAGAAUUUUCUAGAACAUGUUUUCAUCAGCUGAUUUCUGUCAAAACAAAACAAUAUUUGCCGGACGGAGUUAAUGAAACAGAAUUCACGAGCAUUUGUUAAUUUAUUAUAGACCUCACAAUAUAGCAUUCAUAUUACCAUUAAAACCAUGGUUAUUCAAAACAACAUGUCGCGACCAAAGAAUCAUAGAAUUCGUGUGAUAACAUUUUAUUUGUAAUUUUCAGAAAACAAUUUUUGAUCUUUACUAUUAUUACUUUUUCUUGCCGUGAAGUGAGACUUAUUCUAUACUUAGGAGUGGGGGGGGGUCCAAAAAUCGUAUACUAAAACGGACCACAUAUUUAAAAAUGGGGAUCGUAACACUAAAUGUACUAACAUGUAACCGUCCAAAUGUUGACAAUAUUGCUGUGAUUUAUAUCGUUGUAAAUAAAAACAUUGACUGGUGUAUGAUGGAGGAAUGCAGCCACAAGAAAAUUAUCUCCGAGCCGCGAUUGAUGUCAUAUAGUGGAUUAGCAGUAGCGCCCUCAUUAAUGGAGGAUAUUCCGUUGCGCUGUCCUAAAUAUAUUUGUGACGUCAAUAGUGGCUCGUAAGCCAAUUGUGUGUGGCUGCCUCUCUUCCAGUGUUAUAAACAUCUUAACCAACUAUUGAUGUAUUUUUGUGAUUUGUUUCAGAAA